UACGUAGGGUGCAAGCGUUAAUCGGAAUUAUUGGGCGUAAAGGGCGCGUAGGCGGUUUGACAAGUCUGAUGUGAAAUCUAUGGGCUCAACCCAUAGCCUGCAUUAGAAACUGUCGGGCUUGAGUAUGGGAGAGGUGAGUGGAAUUUCCGGUGUAGCAGUGAAAUGCGUAGAUAUCGGGAGGAACAUCUGUGGCGAAGGCGACACCCUGGACCAGCACUGACACUGAGGCACGAAAGCGUGGGGAGCAAACAGG
RNAcentral lists this ribosomal RNA (253 nucleotides) under uncultured bacterium. RNAcentral describes it as "partial 16S ribosomal RNA". It matches the Rfam family "Bacterial small subunit ribosomal RNA", at positions 524 to 776 of the family's 1533-position model. The record is from RNAcentral.